AGAGAUACCGAAGUAUAUAAUAGGUGACCAACCAAAAAAAAAAAAAAAGAGACAAUACCAAGCAUCCGGGCUGUAACGAAAGACAACUCAAAGAGGGAUAAAUUGCAAGCAUCCGUCAAUUAUCCAAGAAACAAAGAGUAUUCGAUUCCGCAAAGGAAUAUAACGAAUCUUACUCGACUAGGGAAACACAAAAGGCUUCGACUGAAGAGUGCAUGAGAUAUAUUAUCCAUUACCGUCAAAACGUGGAUAAC
RNAcentral lists this long non-coding RNA (251 nucleotides) under Lathyrus oleraceus (garden pea). Its description in RNAcentral is "Pisum sativum (pea) long non-coding RNA (PSAT_LNC028719)". The record is from RNAcentral. Lineage: Eukaryota; Viridiplantae; Streptophyta; Magnoliopsida; Fabales; Fabaceae.